RNAcentral lists this unclassified non-coding RNA (253 nucleotides) under uncultured Planctomycetota bacterium. RNAcentral describes it as "uncultured planctomycete contains 16S-23S intergenic spacer region". It matches the Rfam family "Bacterial small subunit ribosomal RNA", at positions 524 to 776 of the family's 1533-position model. The record is from RNAcentral. Lineage: Bacteria; Pseudomonadati; Planctomycetota.
GACGGAGGGCGCAAGCGUUGUUCGGAAUCACUGGGCAUAAAGAGCACGUAGGCUGUUAGUUAAGUCUGAUGUGAAAGCCCCCGGCCCAACCGGGGAACUGCAUUCGAUACUGGCUGACUAGAGGACAGGAGGGGUGAGUGGAACUCCAGGUGGAACGGUGAAAUGUGUAGAUAUCUGGAGGAACACCGGUGGCGAAAGCGGCUCACUGGCCUGUCUCUGACGCUGAGGUGCGAAAGCUAGGGGAGCGAACGGG